This is an unclassified non-coding RNA of Prolemur simus (greater bamboo lemur), 288 nucleotides long. It matches the Rfam family "Metazoan signal recognition particle RNA". Rfam says of the family: The signal recognition particle (SRP) is a universally conserved ribonucleoprotein. It is involved in the co-translational targeting of proteins to membranes. The eukaryotic SRP consists of a 300-nucleotide 7S RNA and six proteins: SRPs 72, 68, 54, 19, 14, and 9. NCBI's taxonomy places the organism in Eukaryota, Metazoa, Chordata, Mammalia, Primates, Lemuridae. The record is from Ensembl.
GCCUGGCAUGGUGGUCCCAUAUACUUGGGAGGCUGAGGCUGGGGGAUUGGUUGAGCCCAGGAGUUCUGGGAGUUGUAUGGUGCCAUGCUGGUCAGCUAUCUGCACUAAAUUUGGCAUCAAUAUGGUGACUUCCCUAGAGUAGGGGACCACCAGUUUGCCUAAGGAGGGGUGAACUGGCCCAGGUCAGAAAUGGAGCAGGUCAAAACUCCUGUGCUGAUCAGUAAUGGGAUUGUGCCUAUGAAUAGCCACUGCAUUCCGGCCUAGGAAACAUAGCAAGACCCUGUCUCU